ACGCUCUGAUUUCUCUGUAAAUUUGACAAUUCAUCGACAAGAAAUUAGAUUACACGGGUGUGGAUAAAGUGUAAACGCAAUGCCUGCACGGUUCUGUUAUAACACGAAACAAGUAGAUAAAAAGUAAGCUUAAAUCUCAUUUAGAUUGAUAAUUCAUUUUUGUUGUUGUUACUUUUGUUUCUGUCACAAGUAUCAUUUUACUUAUAUGACAAUAAAACAAUUAUAAUUAUAAUUCAUCAAAAUGACACCUGUGUUCCUUUUUACAUUACUAGUGCAGGAAUAAUGUAUACACGCAUUGAUAACAAAUAUUAAAGCACAAGACAUAUCUAAGACUAAGAGAAUUACAAACGGGACAAAUAUUAUCACUU
RNAcentral lists this long non-coding RNA (368 nucleotides) under Mytilus galloprovincialis (Mediterranean mussel). The record is from RNAcentral. Lineage: Eukaryota; Metazoa; Mollusca; Bivalvia; Mytilida; Mytilidae.